AUUGAACGCUGGCGGCAUGCCUUACACAUGCAAGUCGAACGGUAACGGGCCUUCGGGUGCCGACGAGUGGCGAACGGGUGAGUAAUACAUCGGAACGUGCCCGAUCGUGGGGGAUAACGAGGCGAAAGCUUUGCUAAUACCGCAUACGAUCUACGGAUGAAAGCAGGGGACCGCAAGGCCUUGCGCGGACGGAGCGGCCGAUGGCAGAUUAGGUAGUUGGUGGGAUAAAAGCUUACCAAGCCGACGAUCUGUAACUGGUCUGAGAGGAUGAUCAGCCACACUGGGACCGAGACACGGCCCAGACUCCUACGGGAGGCAGCAGUGGGGAAUUUUGGACAAUGGGCGCAAGCCUGAUCCAGCCAUGCCGCGUGCAGGAUGAAGGCCUUCGGGUUGUAAACUGCUUUUGUACGGAACGAAAAGCCUUCUUUUAAUACAGGAGGGUCAUGACGGUACCGUAAGAAUAAGCACCGGCUAACUACGUG
This 482-nucleotide ribosomal RNA is filed under the name uncultured bacterium. Its description in RNAcentral is "partial 16S ribosomal RNA". It matches the Rfam family "Bacterial small subunit ribosomal RNA", at positions 30 to 507 of the family's 1533-position model. The record is from RNAcentral.